UACGUAGGCAGCGAGCGUUGUUCGGAAUUACUGGGCGUAAAGAGUGUGUAGGCGGUGCUCUAAGUUCGGUGUGAAAUCUCCUGGCUCAACUGGGAGGGUGCGCCGGAAACUGGAGUGCUUGAGCGUGGGAGAGGAAAGCGGAAUUCCUGGUGUAGCGGUGAAAUGCGUAGAUAUCAGGAGGAACACCUGUGGUGUAGACGGCUUUCUGGACCAUAGCUGACGCUGAGACGCGAAAGCUAGGGGAGCAAACAGG
RNAcentral lists this ribosomal RNA (253 nucleotides) under uncultured bacterium. RNAcentral describes it as "partial 16S ribosomal RNA". It matches the Rfam family "Bacterial small subunit ribosomal RNA", at positions 524 to 776 of the family's 1533-position model. The record is from RNAcentral.